RNAcentral lists this transfer RNA (77 nucleotides) under Erysipelotrichaceae bacterium. RNAcentral describes it as "tRNA-Arg". It matches the Rfam family "tRNA". Rfam says of the family: Transfer RNA (tRNA) molecules are approximately 80 nucleotides in length. Their secondary structure includes four short double-helical elements and three loops (D, anti-codon, and T loops). The record is from RNAcentral. Lineage: Bacteria; Bacillati; Bacillota; Erysipelotrichia; Erysipelotrichales; Erysipelotrichaceae.
GUGCUCAUAGCUCAAAUGGAUAGAGCAUUCGAUUCCGAUUCGAAAGGUUGCGGGUUCAAUUCCUGUUGAGCACGCCA